GACGACUAUUUGAAAAAUAAAGCCCGGCCUUAGCUGCUAGGUUCUAGCGUCUGACUCCUAUAUACACGCUAGAGCAACACAAUCAAAUUGCGGGAACCCUCUUGUCAAAGCAUAUAGCUACAGUUGCAAGCUAGUACCAAGCAUAGAGCACUUUCCCUCUAUAUACCGAUAAAAUAGAGGCUACUAUGUGGCCAAGGAGAUGUCAUCUUGGGUAUGGUAAGAACCUACUUGCUCCUAGAGCGACCCGCAGUUAGGGGCUAUAAAAGAUAGCUAUAGCCCCGAUUCACAGGCCAAACGAUAGUGGGCGUAUCACUAUUAGAUUGAUACAUCUAAGAUAUGGUCGAAAGUCUCGCUUAGGCGAGGACGAUAGUAGAAUGAAUGACAGUAUAGAGUAGAUCCAAGGGACCUAUUAAUGAUGUUUAAAAAGAAGCUCUCUUGGAUUCUGUAGUACAUGGAAAUCUAUACUAAUACUCGCCAAGGUCCUCCAGUCCCGCCAGCUCGGCCCAUUCUAUCUACUCUAUACUGGCAUCCUUUGCUAUCUGACAGGUGUUCCGUAGGUGAACCUGCGGAAGGAUCAUUA
Molecule: ribosomal RNA, 580 nt
Filed under: Roccella boergesenii
Lineage: Eukaryota; Fungi; Ascomycota; Arthoniomycetes; Arthoniales; Roccellaceae
Description: partial small subunit ribosomal RNA
Source: RNAcentral